AGGAUGAACGCUGGCGGCGUGCCUAAUACAUGCAAGUCGAGCGGUAAGGCCUCUUCGGAGGUACACGAGCGGCGGACGGCUGAGUAACACGUAGGAACGUACCCCAAAGUGAGGGAUAAGCACCAGAAAUGGUGUCUAAUACCGCAUGUGCUCUAAGGAGUAAAGCUUCGGCGCUUUGGGAACGGCCUGCGCAUGAUUAGCUUGUUGGUGAGGUAAAAGCUCACCAAGGCGACGAUCAUUAGCUGGUCUGAGAGGAUGAUCAGCCAGACUGGGACUGAGAACGGCCCAGACUCCUACGGGAGGCAGCAGUAGGGAAUUUUCCACAAUGGGCGAAAGCCUGAUGGAGCAACGCCGCGUGCAGGAUGAAGGCCUUCGGGUUGUAAACUGCUUUUAUCUGUGACGAUUAUGACGGUAGCAGAUGAAUAAGGAUCGGCUAACUCCGUGCCAGCAGCCGC
Molecule: ribosomal RNA, 455 nt
Filed under: uncultured bacterium
Lineage: Bacteria
Description: SSU rRNA
Rfam family: Bacterial small subunit ribosomal RNA
Source: RNAcentral